GCACCCGCGGUAAUUCCAGCUCCAAUAGCGUAUAUUAAAGUUGUUGCAGUUAAAAAGCUCGUAGUUGGAUUUCUGGGAGGGUGCCGAUGUCCACUUAACGUGUGCGCAGCGGCGCCCUCUCAUCCUUCUGUUAGCGUCUCUUGGCAUUCAUUUGCUGGUGGCGGGCUCAGAUAUUUUACCUUGAGAAAAUUAGAGUGUUUCAGGCAGGCUAGGCCGGAAUACAUUAGCAUGGAAUAAUGGAAUAGGACUACGGUCUCUUUGUUGGUUUGAGGGACUGCAGUAAUGAUUAAUAGGGAUAGUUGGGGGCAUUAGUACUUAACUGUCAGAGGUGGAAUUCUCAGAUUUGUUAAAGACUGACUUAUGCGAAAGCAUUUGCCAAGGAUGUUUUCAUUAAUCAAGAACGAAAGU
Molecule: ribosomal RNA, 408 nt
Filed under: uncultured eukaryote
Lineage: Eukaryota
Description: SSU rRNA
Rfam family: Eukaryotic small subunit ribosomal RNA
Source: RNAcentral